AUACGGAGGGGGUUAGCGUUGUUCGGAAUCACUGGGCGUAAAGCGCGCGCAGGCGGUCUUUUAAGUUGGAUGUGAAAGCCUACAGCUCAACUGUAGAACUGCAUCCAAAACUAUUAGACUAGAGUCUGGGAGGGGAAGAUGGAAUUAGUAGUGUAGGGGUAAAAUCCGUAGAGAUAACUAGGAAUACCAAAAGCGAAGGCGAUCUUCUGGAACAGUACUGACGCUGAGGCGCGAAAGCGUGGGGAGCAAACAGGAUUAGAUACCCCAGUAGUCC
Molecule: ribosomal RNA, 274 nt
Filed under: uncultured bacterium
Lineage: Bacteria
Description: partial 16S ribosomal RNA
Rfam family: Bacterial small subunit ribosomal RNA
Source: RNAcentral